UGCAAAAAACAGUGAUGUAAUGUUUGAAUUUAAUGGUUGUACUAGAGCAGAUGCUGAUUUAUGGCAUAGUUUAUAUGAACAAUGUGAUCAUGCAAACCAACUAUUGGAUAAGAAAUUAUUAUGCAUAAACCAGCUGCAGUGCUGUGGUGACUCCAGUUCUAAAUUAUCCUUCUUGAACCUUAGCGAAGUGUGUCCGAAACGUGACAAUAUACUAGAGCAAUUCACCAUAGAGGACUGCCACCAGAAAAUUGAUGCUCUGUUCUCAACCAAGCUCUAUCUGGUUGGCAUCGCUGCUGUCGUUGUGGCCGUUAUCAUGAUCAUCGAGAUGAUACUCAGUAUGGUCCUGUGCUGUGGCAUCCGAAUUUAUUCAGUAUACUAAGCAAUGCCUUUAUUCUCCUGUGUAUAUAACUCCCUCAAACCCUCCCACAACUCCCUUUUUGUUUUUUCUAAAUAUUCUGCCCUCUUGGUGAUCGAGUCAAUGUCCAGCCGGUGCAGUGAAUUCCUUGCUCGGACUUCACAGCCGGUGCAGUGAAUUCCUUGCUCGGACUUUCUCUAUGUUUUUAUGAGCAGUGCUCUAGAUAUUUCUUCAGCACGACACUCAGGAAUUCGGGUGCCCUCGAAUGUAUAUGGCCUGCUUGUAGGGCUCUGACUUCCAGUUUACAGCGUCUGCGCUCAGAAGGACGCGUCAUCUUGUGUUUGCCACACAAUGAGAUCCUAAAGAGUUGGGCAGCUGAAUUUAGCCUUGUGGUAAAAAUAAGCGCGUGCGCGUCCAGCUGCUCUUUACGAUCUCAUUGCUGUAGAGUCAUGAUCUCUCCUGUUUCACGUGUAAAAGAUGUUGUGUUUGUACAGUUUGGGAGAGGAGUAAAUCCAUAUUCCUUGCACGAUGGCCCCUUUUCCUACACUCCAUCAUUACAUAGUAAAUAUAUAUAAAUAUCAACAUGUAAAAAGAUUCUGAUUAAAAUCCUUUGGGGGCUUUUUCCCUACUCCAAAGUCUGAUUCAUUUAUUUAUGGGGUGAGGGUAUGGGGAUGAUGGGAAUUUACAAUGUGGAUGUGAAUUAAUUCCCCCAGGCAAAUUGUGAGUUGAAAACAGACAAAAAUAAUCAAGAAAAUAAAACUUUUCGUCUGUAUUUGUGCCAGAAAAUAUCCAGUUUUAGCGACAUUUUGGUCCCCCGACAUCACUCGCCACCUAAGGUAAUCAAAAAAAGAAAAAUUUUGAAUAUUUGUAAAAAAUUUUGCAUCCAAUCCUUUUUAAGAAGGAAGUAUAUUUAUACAUACAUCUAUCUCUGGGUUUUUAUUACAUAUUCAUUGUAUGCUUUGUAUUUUGUAUGUAGUUUACGUUUUUAAUAUUAAUACUAGUUAGUUUUAUGUGUAUAUGUUUUCUUAAAUGGUUUUUUGUUAUAAUGGUAAGAUUUCGGGAUGUUGUAAAGACUUGCAAGAUAGGAAAAUGUGGACUCUGUAACAUAAGUGAUACGACAGUGCCAUCUUCUGGUGGUUACACAAAAGGACUUUUGCCUUAAAGACAAAGAACUCUUUUCUCAUUGGUUCAAAGUUCAUCAAAGGAAUUCUUCAGGAAAAUUUGUAUAAAUGGACUGCUCUCAAACAGCAGUGCAGCUCAUCUUGACUUCUGAUACCAUCAAGAACCUGAACAUCCAGAGCUCACAUAUAAACGCCGGGAAAACAACUAUUCACCAGAGGAAAAGGAAAGGUAUUAAAUUACCACUACUGGGGAAAGAAAUAGAUUGUCUUUUAAAGCAUUUUUGUUUGUAGUUUUUAAGAACUGUUAUAUACAAGUCAUACUCUCUGUCUUGCAUUGCUUGAAUAAAUCCUUCCAUUGCUAAGCCUAAAUUGGACUGAAUUGUUGUUAGACGGAUCAAAUUUCUAACAGAUUUGGCAACCCAGCCAGUUUUUGCUAUUUCCCCAAUCUUGGGAGCAAACCCCAUAUUUUUUUCCUGUUCAGCAGGAGGUUUAAGAUUAAAACUUUCAGGUUUAAAUCUUAAAAAAGGGGGGAGUUCGAUAACCACAGAGAGUUAUCUAAAUAACCACAGAGAGUUAUUCAAGAGAAGAGGAUUUUUUUGCAAAGUAAAAGAACCUAGAGUCAGCAGUCCAUUGGGCAAAGAAAGGAAGGGGAGAAGAAAAACAGUGGCCACUGUGUAAAGCGGGAAGACGCGUUGUAUCUUCAUAUUUUUUCUUGGAUCCACGGAGAGAUUCAAGAGGCGUAGUAUCCUUCCUUAAAAGAGUGCACAUUUUAAAGGCAAAGGGACUACGAAACUUCAUAUCAGGACUGCCACCAGAAAAUUGAUGCUCUGUUCUCAACCAAGCUCUAUCUGGUUGGCAUCGCUGCUGUCGUUGUGGCCGUUAUCAUGAUCAUCGAGAUGAUACUCAGUAUGGUCCUGUGCUGUGGCAUCCGAAUUUAUUCAGUAUACUAAGCAAUGCCUUUAUUCUCCUGUGUAUAUAACUCCCUCAAACCCUCCCACGACUCCCUUUUUGUUUUUUCUAAAUAUUCUGCCCUCUUGGUGAUCGAGUCAAUGUCCAGCCGACUUUCUCUAUGUUUUUAUGAGCAGUGCUCUAGAUAUUUCUUCAGCACGACACUCAGGAAUUCGGGUGCCCUCGAAUGUAUAUGGCCUGCUUGUAGGGCUCUGACUUCCAGUUUACAGCGUCUGCGCUCAGAAGGACGCGUCAUCUUGUGUUUGCCACACAAUGAGAUCCUAAAGAGUUGGGCAGCUGAAUUUAGCCUUGUGGUAAAACUAAGCGCGUGCGCGUCCAGCUGCUCUUUAAGAUCUCAUUGCUGUAGAGUCAUGAUCUCUCCUGUUUCACGUGUAAAAGAUGUUGUGUUUGUACCGUUUGGGAGAGGAGUAAAUCCAUAUUCCUUGCACAAUGGCCCCUUUUCCUACACUCCAUCAUUACAUAGUAAAUAUAUAUAAAUAUCAACAUGUAAAAAGAUUCUGAUUAAAAUCCUUUGGGGGCUUUUUCCCUA
Molecule: RNA transcript, 2974 nt
Organism: Xenopus laevis (African clawed frog)
Lineage: Eukaryota; Metazoa; Chordata; Amphibia; Anura; Pipidae
Gene: cd81.2.L
Gene name: CD81 antigen-like
Exons: 5
Source: RefSeq, a predicted model, not a curated record